This 223-nucleotide long non-coding RNA is filed under the name Pelobates cultripes (western spadefoot toad). Lineage: Eukaryota; Metazoa; Chordata; Amphibia; Anura; Pelobatidae. The record is from RNAcentral.
CUUUCCUGCCACAAUUCCAGCAGUCUACCUGCCUUCUGUCCCCACCAGCUCUAGGGACAGUUACAGCCAUUAGAGGUGUGCUCCUCUUUCUAGUAUUUAGAUUAGCUUCCACUCCCCUAGCCACCUUCACCAGAUCACCAUAGGUUAAACUUCUCCACUCAGGUCUAGCAUUUUGGAGACCAGUCCUUAUGGGUAUGUGGAUACCAUCCAUGAAGCAGUUAAU